GGUUCGGGCGGUGCUCGGGGCGCUCCCGGGUUUGUCGUGCCCGGUUCGGGCGGUGUUCGGGGCGCUCCCGGGUUU
Non-coding RNA from Turdus rufiventris (rufous-bellied thrush), 75 nucleotides. NCBI's taxonomy places the organism in Eukaryota, Metazoa, Chordata, Aves, Passeriformes, Turdidae. The record is from the annotation of a GenBank genome assembly.